GAUGCAAAAUUGAUUAUAUCAAAUAAAAUUCUAGGUAGAUUUUUGAUAAUGACAUUGCUUACCUAAGUCUUGACCAAAUUACGUGCCAGCAGUCGCGGUAAUACGUAAAAGACUAGUGUUAUUCAUCUUUAAUUGGUUUAAAGGGUACCUAGACAGCGAAUAAAGCCAUAGUAGGGACUAAUUCGCUAGAGUUACUUAUGAGGGGGUAUUAAAGUACUGCAGGUGUAGAGAUGAAAUUUUGUUAUACCUCUUUUCGUAAGAGAAAAUAUGGCACAGGUAUAGGUGAAAGCAUCCCCUUAUGUGAUAACUGACGUUGAGGGACGAAGGCUUUGUGUCGCGAACAGGAUUAGAUACCCCAAUAGUCAAAGCAGAAAAUGAUGAAUGUCAUAGAUUAGAUAUGCAAUUUAUUCUAUAAAUGAAAGUGUAAGCAUUCCACCUCAAGAGUAAUUUGGCAACAUUGGAACUGAAAUCAUUAGACCGUUUCUGAAACCAGUAGUGAAGUAUGUUGUUUAAUUUGAUGAUACGCAAAAAACCUUACCACAAUUUGAAUAUUUAUAUCUAUCUUUUAUUGAUUUUUACUAACAUAUAUGUAGACAAUUAAAAUGAUGUUUAUGUCUCGAUUGUGAGACUAAGCAUGAAAAAAGAUAAUAUAUUUACAAGCGUUGCACGGCUGUCUUCAGUUAAUGUCGCGAGAUUUUGGUUAGUUCCAUUAAAAUUAACGUAAACCCUUACUUUAUUUAUAUAUAAAGUAGUUCUCCGCUAUA
This 764-nucleotide ribosomal RNA is filed under the name Cladonia subulata. RNAcentral describes it as "SSU rRNA". It matches the Rfam family "Bacterial small subunit ribosomal RNA", at positions 422 to 1160 of the family's 1533-position model. Lineage: Eukaryota; Fungi; Ascomycota; Lecanoromycetes; Lecanorales; Cladoniaceae. The record is from RNAcentral.